CACGGCCGGUCGCUGUCCGGGACUGAGCUUUCUCGGGAGGACCGCGGACUGCUGUUCGAAGGCUUUUAUGGCGGGAAUCAGUUCAGUCGCUAUAGCUUGAACCGGGUAAAAGUCGUAACAAGAUACCUAUAGGUGGACAUGCAGAUG
Haemonchus contortus (barber pole worm) is the source of this 147-nucleotide non-coding RNA. Lineage: Eukaryota; Metazoa; Nematoda; Chromadorea; Rhabditida; Trichostrongylidae. The record is from Rfam.